This 478-nucleotide ribosomal RNA is filed under the name uncultured bacterium. Its description in RNAcentral is "partial 16S ribosomal RNA". It matches the Rfam family "Bacterial small subunit ribosomal RNA", at positions 28 to 523 of the family's 1533-position model. The record is from RNAcentral.
GACGAACGCUGGCGGCGUGCUUAACACAUGCAAGUCGAACGGUAAGGCCCUUCGGGGUACACGAGUGGCGAACGGGUGAGUAACACGUGGGUGAUCUGCCCUGCACUUCGGGAUAAGCCUGGGAAACUGGGUCUAAUACCGGAUAGGACUCCGGACUGCAUGGUCUGGGGUGGAAAGCUUUUGCGGUGCGGGAUGGGCCCGCGGCCUAUCAGCUUGUUGGUGGGGUGAUGGCCUACCAAGGCGACGACGGGUAGCCGGCCUGAGAGGGUGACCGGCCACACUGGGACUGGGAUACGGCCCAGACUCGUACGGGAGGCAGCAGUGGGGAAUAUUGCACAAUGGGCGCAAGCCUGAUGCAGCGACGCCGCGUGAGGGAUGACGGCCUUCGGGUUGUAAACCUCUUUCAGCAUCGACGAAGCGAAAGUGACGGUAGGUGCAGAAGAAGGACCGGCCAACUACGUGCCAGCAGCCGCCGUAA